Molecule: non-coding RNA, 648 nt
Organism: Taeniopygia guttata (zebra finch)
Lineage: Eukaryota; Metazoa; Chordata; Aves; Passeriformes; Estrildidae
Source: RefSeq, a predicted model, not a curated record
GGACAAACUCCUGGUGGAGCAGGGAGGGGACGGCGGGACGGGGAACGACCCUGGCGAGGUGGGGACUCGGAAUUCCCGAAUUUUGGGCACAAAAAUCCCGAAUUUUGGGUAAAAAUAGGGAGAAAAACCUAUAUAUGGGGUUGAAAAUGUCGUUUGUGGGGAUAAAAAUGUCGUGAUUGUGGGGGCUGGACAAACUCCUGGCGGAGCAGGGAGGGGACGGCGGGACGGGGAACGCGCCUGGCGAGGUGGGAACUCGGAAUUCCCGAAUUUUGGGCAAAAAUGGGGAAAAAAAUCUAUAUAUGGGGUUGAAAAUAGCGUUUGUGGGGGUAAAAAUGUCGUGAUUGUGGGGGCUGGACAAACUCCUGGCGGAGCAGGGAGGGGACGGCGGGACGGGGAACGCGUCUGGCGAGGUGAGGACACUCGGAAUUCCCAUUUAUGGGCACAGAAAUCCCGGAUUUUGGGCAAAAAUAGGGAAAAAAAACCGAUAUAUGGGGUUGAAAAUAGCGUUUGUGGGGGUAAAAAUGUCGUGAUUGUGGGGGCUGGACAAACUCCUGGCGGAGCAGGGAGGGGACGGCGGGACGGGGAACGCGCCUGGCGAGGUGAGAACUCGGAAUUCCCGAUAAAGGGAGCGGAAAUCCCGAAUUUUGG